Molecule: ribosomal RNA, 791 nt
Filed under: Saccharomyces cerevisiae (brewer's yeast)
Lineage: Eukaryota; Fungi; Ascomycota; Saccharomycetes; Saccharomycetales; Saccharomycetaceae
Description: eukaryotic LSU rRNA
Rfam family: 5.8S ribosomal RNA (bases 359-512)
Source: RNAcentral
CUGCUAGAUAUAUUUUGAAUGGAUUUUUUUGUUUUGGCAAGAGCAUGAGAGCUUUUACUGGGCAAGAAGACAAGAGAUGGAGAGUCCAGCCGGGCCUGCGCUUAAGUGCGCGGUCUUGCUAGGCUUGUAAGUUUCUUUCUUGCUAUUCCAAACGGUGAGAGAUUUCUGUGCUUUUGUUAUAGGACAAUUAAAACCGUUUCAAUACAACACACUGUGGAGUUUUCAUAUCUUUGCAACUUUUUCUUUGGGCAUUCGAGCAAUCGGGGCCCAGAGGUAACAAACACAAACAAUUUUAUCUAUUCAUUAAAUUUUUGUCAAAAACAAGAAUUUUCGUAACUGGAAAUUUUAAAAUAUUAAAAACUUUCAACAACGGAUCUCUUGGUUCUCGCAUCGAUGAAGAACGCAGCGAAAUGCGAUACGUAAUGUGAAUUGCAGAAUUCCGUGAAUCAUCGAAUCUUUGAACGCACAUUGCGCCCCUUGGUAUUCCAGGGGGCAUGCCUGUUUGAGCGUCAUUUCCUUCUCAAACAUUCUGUUUGGUAGUGAGUGAUACUCUUUGGAGUUAACUUGAAAUUGCUGGCCUUUUCAUUGGAUGUUUUUUUUCCAAGAGAGGUUUCUCUGCGUGCUUGAGGUAUAAUGCAAGUACAGUCGUUUUAGGAUUUACCAACUGCGGCUAUCUCUUUAUACUGGGCGUAUUGGAGCGUAUCGAUAAGAAGAGAGCGUCGAGGCGAACAUGUCUUAAGUUGACCUCAAUCAGGUAGGAGUACCCGCUGAACUACCUAUCAUAGCGGAGG